This 302-nucleotide long non-coding RNA is filed under the name Phoenix dactylifera (date palm). RNAcentral describes it as "long non-coding RNA (PDAC_LNC003821)". Lineage: Eukaryota; Viridiplantae; Streptophyta; Magnoliopsida; Arecales; Arecaceae. The record is from RNAcentral.
AAAAUUACGCACCCUACAAACACUAUUCUUCUCCUCUCUACACUAUUUGCCCCCUCCCUGACUUGAGCGUCGGAGGGCCGGCGCCGGAAAAUCCGGCCACCGGCUUGUCUGCAGGCACCCCAGACGGAGGACGCCGCCCGCCGACGGAUCGCCGCCCCGCCGUGAGGACCUGCUGCUCCCUCUCUCCGACCACCCCAGACGGAGGACGCCGCCCGCCGACUGGUCGCCGCCCCGCCGUGGUGACCUCCCGCUGCUCCCUCUCCUCGACCGAAGAUUGCCCCCGGGUCCAAUUUCCAGCAACA